Molecule: long non-coding RNA, 1385 nt
Filed under: Brassica rapa (field mustard)
Lineage: Eukaryota; Viridiplantae; Streptophyta; Magnoliopsida; Brassicales; Brassicaceae
Description: long non-coding RNA (BRAP_LNC001424)
Source: RNAcentral
UGUAACUCAACAUACGUACAUAACCAUGCAUAUGUAUCCGCAAGUUCAGGUAAUGAAUUAAUUUUACUAAAGUGGAACCUUUUUCUGAUAAGUAUGUGAAUUUUAUUAACUUGUAAUGUGCAGGCUGAUACAAGAAACUUGAAUCACAACAUUGGUACAGCAAAGAAGUAUCAAAGAGCCCACUAAAAAGGACUCAUUGACCAGUGCCGGACUAACAUUUUCCACUGCCCCAAUCAAAAUUUUAAAUUAUGCCUUUGUACAUAUUUUAUCAAAAUCAUAAAACAGUACAAAACAACUUUAAUUUUUAUUAAAUAGAAAUGGAAGUAUAUAGUUUGUUUAUGAAAUAAAACUGUGAUAAAAAUAUUUAUUGGUAAAAUUAAUUUUGUUUUUCAUUUUUUAUGCAAAAUUAUCCGCUAGAUUUCUACAGUCAUUUUUUUCAACCAUCCAUUAUAUGUCUAUCAUAAAAAUCAGUAAACACAAUCCAAAAAUAUUAUCGUAAUAAAGUAAAGUUAUUAAGCUUUUAUCACAUUUCGAAAACUAUGAACUAACAAACAUAUCUUCUUACUACGUAAAGGAUUAGUUGAAAAAACUGAAACAUUAAAACUAAACUAUAUAUUAAGAGUUAAGAGAAAAGAGAACAAAAAGAAAAAAAUAGAAUAAAAUAAAAAAUUAUGCAAAACGAUGCAAAAGAAUGAAUUGAAACCAAAAAAAAAAUCUGUUUUGUUGCUAAUUUUAAUUAGAGUUUGAAUUAUCAUCUAAAAUAGAAAUUUACUAAUAUAUUUAAUAUAUAAAAAAUUUAUAAAUAUAGUUGUAAAGUUCAACAAAUUUUAUAUAAAAAUGCCUUAUAAAUAAUAUUUUAACAAAAAAUUACAAAAAAUUAUUUGUUUAUAGGUAAUAAUACGAAUAUUUUUUUUAAAAAAUAUGCUCUAUUAUUUUGGAUGCCCUAAUCCACAGCUUGGGUGGCUUGCCCUCCGGGCCGGCCCUGUCAUUGACACAACGUUACUCAUUGACACAACGUUAGGUAUAUACACUUUAGAGCAAAGAUUCAAGAUUUAUGUUGCCGGCCGACUUUUAGUUCUAACCUUUUAGCAUAGUACUGUAGGGGUUGGCAACUUGAUUAUCGCGAUUAAUGAUUUGUGGAUAUAUUGUGCCAGCUGUUAUGUCAUUAAUGAGCUUUCCAAAUUGCAAAGCAGACCAUCAUCUUGGACUUUUCUCACAUCAGUCGACAACACUUGCAAUUUGAUCCACUGCAUUUAUAUAAUAUUUCAUCUUUUAGUUAUCUUGUUACUGGACCGUAAUUAAGAAAUUAGUCAGCAGUGACUCUAGUAUAAGUGUGUUUAAAGAUCUAAUAUAUUAAAAUAGAAGUUACAACUUCACUUCAUGUG